This 375-nucleotide long non-coding RNA is filed under the name Panax ginseng (ginseng). RNAcentral's name for it is "long non-coding RNA (PGIN_LNC016275)". Lineage: Eukaryota; Viridiplantae; Streptophyta; Magnoliopsida; Apiales; Araliaceae. The record is from RNAcentral.
CCAAAUGACAUUUUUGCCCCUCUUGUAUUAUUUGAGCUUGCUUGUGUAUCUAACCCAAUAAGGAGUGGGUGACCUAACUUGUUGACAUUGUGACCUAAAUAAUGCCAUCAAUCAAUCCUAGAUCAGUCAAUACAUGCAUCCAAGACUUGUAUAAAUAGAUUGGAAGAGAGAGAAAAUCAUUUGUUAACUUAUUUUUGCCCAAACACUCAAACAUUCUCUCUCAAGCUCCACACCUCCGAAAUUCUUUCCUAAUAUCAGUCAAGAACCAAGCCCCACGAUUACCUCUAACCAAAUCAGUAGUCAGAAUCAAAAGAUUGAUCAUCAAGGUAUAAAAACCCUAGCUAUAAUCUGACCAAAAAUAUGAUGUUAGAUGUU